CAAGCUACACACCUAGUCUGGCGAGCUGAUCAGCAUGCCGCGUGUGUGAGAAGGCCUUCGGGUUGUAAAGCACUUUUGUCCGGAAAGAAAACUUCUGCCCUAAUACGGCGGGAGGAUGACGGUACCGGAAGAAUAAGCACCGGCUAACUACGUGCCAGCAGCCGCGGUAAUACGUAGGGUGCGAGCGUUAAUCGGAAUUACUGGGCGUAAAGCGUGCGCAGGCGGUUUGUUAAGACCGAUGUGAAAUCCCCGGGCUCAACCUGGGAACUGCAUUGGUGACUGGCAAGCUAGAGUAUGGCAGAGGGGGGUAGAAUUCCACGUGUAGCAGUGAAAUGCGUAGAGAUGUGGAGGAAUACCGAUGGCGAAGGCAGCCCCCUGGGCCAAUACUGACGCUCAUGCACGAAAGCGUGGGGAGCAAACAGGAUUAGAUACCCCCAGUAGUCCA
This 445-nucleotide ribosomal RNA is filed under the name Burkholderia sp. Its description in RNAcentral is "bacterial SSU rRNA". It matches the Rfam family "Bacterial small subunit ribosomal RNA", at positions 352 to 797 of the family's 1533-position model. Lineage: Bacteria; Pseudomonadati; Pseudomonadota; Betaproteobacteria; Burkholderiales; Burkholderiaceae. The record is from RNAcentral.